Molecule: long non-coding RNA, 3171 nt
Filed under: Homo sapiens (human)
Lineage: Eukaryota; Metazoa; Chordata; Mammalia; Primates; Hominidae
Description: non-protein coding lnc-ODF3L2-2:10
Source: RNAcentral
GGCUCUGCCUGGGGAAGCGGCGAGGCCUGGGGCCCUGGUCAGCUGCUCUGACGCCUUGGUGCUCCCGGGGGCAUCUCCAGGCUCACCCCAGCUUCCACGGCCCUGUCUCACGGGUCAAAGGGCCACUCAAAAGCUGCUUUGAAGACGGGGGCCCAGCCAGGAGCCGCACAGGCCUCUCCCGAGGGUCUAGGUGGCUAGAAGGGCACAAGCCACACGGCGUCGCGUCGAGAGACUGAAAUUGUCUAUGAACCGCCCUCGCCGGGUUUGAGACUAGAGAGCUGGUGUUUACACGACGUCGCAAACACCAUAAAGGGCACUAAACUGUUUCUUUAAAAGCCUUCUUUUUUUUUGAGACGGAGUCACUCUGUCGCCCAGGCUGGAGUGCAGUGGUGAGAUCUUGGCUCACUGCAACCUCCGCCUCCUGGGUUCAAGCGAUUCUCCCGCCUGAGCCUCCUGAGUAGCUGGGAUUAUAGGCACGUGCCACCAUGCUCAGGUAAGUUUUGUAUUUGUAGACUUUUUUUUUUUUUUUGAGACAAAGCCUCACUCUGUCACCCAGGCUGGAGUGCAGUGGCACGAUCUCAGCUCACUGCAACCUCUGCCUCCCAGGUUUAAGCAAUUCUGUCUCAGACUCCGGAGUAGCUGGGACUACAGGCGCCUGCCACCACGCCCAGCUAACUUUUGCAUUUUUAGUAGAGACAGGGUUUCACCAUAUUGGUCAGGCUAGUCUCAAACGCCUGACCUCAGGUGAUCCGCCCGCCUUGGCCUCCCAAGGUGCUGGGAUUACAGGCGUGAGCCACCGCGCCUGGCCAAUUUUUGUAUUUUUAAUAGAGACGGGGUUUCCCCAUGUUGGUCAGGCUGGUCUUGAACUCCCCACCUCAAGUGAUCUGCCCACCUUGGGCUCCCAAAGUGCUGGAUUACAGGUGUCAGCCACCGCGCCUGGCCCUGAAGCCUCCUUUCUAACACGAAUAUCAACUUAGAAACGGACGCAGCUAUUGGAAAACAUGUGCAACAGCUAGGGUUUGUGAAGCCACUUUUCCAACUAGAACUUUAGUGGCCUGAAGUGCAGGUUGAAUAUUUCCUGUGAGAAUUAGGAAGUGGACACAAAUGUGCAAAAUACACACUGGGCUCUGAACGCUCAGCGUGAACAAAGAGUGUACAGCAUCUCAACAUGUAUUGCUUAUGAAUCGAAAGGAUAGUAUUUUGGACACAGUGGAUUAAAUAAGAUAAAGAUACAUCUUUGUUUUACGUUUCUUUCUUUCUUUUUUUUUUAGCUGGAGUUUCACUCUUGUCGCCCAGGCUGGAGUACAGUGGUGCUAUCUCGGCUCACUGCAACCUCCACCUCACGGGUUCAAGUGAUUCUACUGUGACGGCCUUCCAAGUAGGUGGGACCACAGGCAUGCGCCACCACGCCCGGCUAAUUUUUGUAUUUUUAGUAGAGACGAGGUUUUGCCAUGUUGGCCAGGCUGGUCUCAAACUCCUGACCUCAGGUGAUCCACCUGCCUCGGCCUCCCACAGUGCUGGGAUUACAGGCGUGAGCCAACGCGCCCGGCCUUGUUUUAUGUUUCAUACGAUUUAUUUUACUUACUACCACCCAUUUCUUUUCUUCUUUCUAUCGUGGCCGCCGGACGUGGGGCUCCCGCUCCGCUUCUGGGGACGCCGCUCUGGCCUCUCUCAGCACCGGGCAGGGGCCAAAUGUGGGUGUUCGCCCUGGGUCGGGGUUCAGGCAGAGCCGCAGCCUCCUGGCUGGGAGGGUUCUCGCCUGCAGGCCGGCGGCCUCUGAGGACGACUCGCUCUCCAUUCGCCACCCAACCCGCGCUGAGUGCUGGACAUCCCGAGCGCGCUCUCCGUCCCUGCAGUUCCUAACGGGUUGGGAGGGUGGUUCUCCCCCGGCCGCAAUCCCGCCCCCAGGAGGCACUAACCCUAACGUGGCAUCUGGGGCCAUCUGUGGUUGUCACGACUGGGAAGGGGGAGAUCCUGGCCUGCACGGUCACCCACAGGCCCGACGGCCCCCGGGAGCCUGUUUCGGGUGCAGCACACCCGGGCUGGAUCGAGCACGGUCGGGGAGGAUGCGGGGCUGGGCCAAGGCCCUCGGCUCUGCAGGGAGGACGGAGAGCGGGUCCGGGGGGUCCGGGGAGGGAACGGGGCCGAGGCUCUGCGUCCACUGCCGGGCCGAUGGGCCAUGGGCUGCGAGGGCGGGUCGGGCGUAGAGGGUCUGGCUGGGAGGGCGGGUCAGAGGUCGGGGCCGCGGGCUGCGAGGGCGGGUCAGAGGUCGGGGCCGCGGGCUGCGACGGCGGGUCGGGAGUCGGGGCUCGGCCUGCGAGGGUGGGUCAAGGGUAGGGGGUCCCGGUCGGGGCCGCGCUCAGCACUCAAAGCGCCGCCAUCCCUGCUGAUGACAUUCUCGACCCGCAGGGCGCAGCUGACCAGCCGCUCCCCCUCCUUUUCCGCGGGUGCAGCUCACUGGCCCUGCCACUGCGCGCGCACCCACCCCGCCCACAGCUCCCGGCAGCUCCCGCGCGGCCCCCGCAGCUGAACCACAACUCCCGCCAUGCCGCGGAGCGCGGGGCGCCGGGGCGUGUGGCCCACAAGGCUUUGCGCGCUGGCGGGGCCGCUCUAGCCCGCGGUCCUCCGAGUUCGUGGCGGGCUGAUGCGGGCUUGGGGCGGGCGGCGCGGACGCCCUGGCGGCUGUCUCGCCCCGUGGUCGGUCUCCUCGCGUUCCCACUGCGGGGCGCCCCGGCUGCCCUUGCGUGGGGCCCGGCACGGGGCGGCCGAGGGGGCGUCCCCGCCGCGAGUCUUCCAGCGCGCUGGUCCCGGGAGGCCUGGCCGUUCGCCCAAGGAGCCUGGUGUCCCCGGGCGGAGACUGGGAAGCCGGGUCCUGUUCCCCGGCGCUGGGCUCGCUGCGGGGGUCGGGGCCGCAGGGCCCGGUCGGGGAUCCAGGUUCCGGGACGCGGAUUCUGGAGUAGGGGCUGCGGGGCUUCCGGCCCGCUUCGCGGGUCAGGGUCACCGGGAGGCCGUGGUUGCGUUGGGGGUACCCGGACGUCAGUCCCAGCAGCGCGAGGGACGAGGGCGCUCGUUAGUUCCACACUGAUUUACUUGUUAUUUUUUUGAGACGGAGUCUCGCUCUGUCGCCCAGGCUGGAGUGCAGUGGCGCCAUCUCGGCUCACCGCAAGCUCC